This 81-nucleotide transfer RNA is filed under the name Ptilocaulis walpersi. RNAcentral's name for it is "tRNA-Leu". It matches the Rfam family "tRNA". From Rfam's summary of the family: Transfer RNA (tRNA) molecules are approximately 80 nucleotides in length. Lineage: Eukaryota; Metazoa; Porifera; Demospongiae; Axinellida; Axinellidae. The record is from RNAcentral.
ACUACUGUGGUGAAAUGGUAAACACAUUAGAUUUAAAAUCUAACAGUAUUAACUUUAUGAGUUCAAGUCUCAUCUGUAGUA